RNAcentral lists this transfer RNA (69 nucleotides) under Rattus norvegicus (Norway rat). It matches the Rfam family "tRNA". From Rfam's summary of the family: Transfer RNA (tRNA) molecules are approximately 80 nucleotides in length. Their secondary structure includes four short double-helical elements and three loops (D, anti-codon, and T loops). Further hydrogen bonds mediate the characteristic L-shaped molecular structure. tRNAs have two regions of fundamental functional importance: the anti-codon, which is responsible for specific mRNA codon recognition, and the 3' end, to which the tRNAs corresponding amino acid is attached (by aminoacyl-tRNA synthetases). tRNAs cope with the degeneracy of the genetic code in two manners: having more than one tRNA (with a specific anti-codon) for a particular amino acid; and 'wobble' base-pairing, i.e. permitting non-standard base-pairing at the 3rd anti-codon position. Lineage: Eukaryota; Metazoa; Chordata; Mammalia; Rodentia; Muridae. The record is from Rfam by way of RNAcentral.
GGGGAUUUAGCUCAGUGGUAGAGCGCUUGCCUAGCAAGCGCAAGGCCCUGGGUUCGAUCCCCAGUUCCA